Odocoileus virginianus texanus is the source of this 680-nucleotide non-coding RNA. The record is from RefSeq and is a predicted model, not a curated record. Lineage: Eukaryota; Metazoa; Chordata; Mammalia; Artiodactyla; Cervidae.
GCGCCAUUCCCCGGGCUUUGCCAGAAGCUGCGCUACAGAGUACGGUCCAGUUCCCUGCGAAGUGUUCUUUGAAAUUCGCAACCAGUUCCUUCAAGUUAUCCUCAUGUGUGGCGGGUUGUUUACUAUUAGCACCACCUGGGAAUCCCGCUUAUCAACAAGCUUGACAGGAAAAGUUAGCUGUACUAUUCUCAUUGUUGGCCUCCAGGUGGCAGCAGUCACUAGGGACAUGCCCUUGGAUGUUCUGCACCUACUCCAGGCUCCCCAGGUGAUGCCAACCUGCACGUGGGAUGAAGACCCUAAGCCACUGGAUUGUAUCCCAGACUACAUUUCCCAGAAACCUCAACGGACACUUCCGUUUCCGGCCUCGUCAGUCUUCGUUUGAGUGGAGCGCGGCAUCCGCUUGCUUCUGGGUUUCGGCGGCUGUGUAGUGUGGCAUGUGAAAUCUUAGUUCCCUGACCAGGGAUCGAACCCAUGCCCCCUGCAGUGGAAGGGCAGAAUCUUAAUCACUGGACCGGCAAGGAAGUCCCUAUCCUUACAUUUUAAUCUUUUUUCUGUUUUGGUGUUUUCCAAUGUUACCUUCCUAACUUUGCAACUUCUUAGAUGCUCCUUACAUUCUUUAAAUACAAUAUAUGCUUUUAAAAUUAAUUAAUUUUAUUUUCAGCUGUGCUGGGUCUUCAUUG